RNAcentral lists this non-coding RNA (134 nucleotides) under Triticum aestivum (bread wheat). RNAcentral describes it as "rRNA SSU_rRNA_eukarya". It matches the Rfam family "Bacterial small subunit ribosomal RNA", at positions 1388 to 1520 of the family's 1533-position model. Lineage: Eukaryota; Viridiplantae; Streptophyta; Magnoliopsida; Poales; Poaceae. The record is from Rfam by way of RNAcentral.
CACCGCCCGUCACACUAUAGGAGCUGGCCAUGUUUGAAGUCAUUACCCUUAUUCGUAAGGAGGGGAAUGCCUAAGGCUAGGCUUGCGACUGGAGUGAAGUCGUAACAAGGUAGCCGUACUGGAAGGUGCGGCUG